Molecule: ribosomal RNA, 465 nt
Filed under: Triticum aestivum (bread wheat)
Lineage: Eukaryota; Viridiplantae; Streptophyta; Magnoliopsida; Poales; Poaceae
Description: partial small subunit ribosomal RNA
Source: RNAcentral
AUGUGUGAGUAUACCGGUGAUGUCAAAGACCCGCUGCGUUACUCUCCAAUCCGUCUGGAAGAUAAACAAAUCAAUGAUAUGACCAAGACUCUUCUCAACGAGAGUUUAGAGACUUGCAGCAAAGUGGGGCUGAACCCCUUCUGCACCCUCAACAAGCCGCCAGUUGCUGAUUCCCCCUUUUGGAACAAGAAACUCCAAGGUAAGCCGGGCAAGAAGGUCAGAACCAAGACCAAGGUUUCCAAGAAGCCUGCCAAAAAGAAGAUGACGCGGAGGCCAGUCAUGCAAAUGGUGAAGAGAAGCAGCAGCACGAAGUUCACCGCACGACCCGGAACAAAGGCGGUGGGAAUCUCUCCUCCGGCUUACCUAACAUGUCGGUUCCUCGCAAACGCCGAGCAGAGGAACUUCUCACUCCUCAUCUGGUGGCUCCACUGGGACUCAGAUCCCCCUCUUCAAAGUCGCCCCUAG